GACGAACGCUGGCGGCGUGCUUAACACAUGCAAGUCGAACGGCAAGGCCCUGCUUUUGUGGGGUGCUCGAGUGGCGAACGGGUGCGUAACACGUGAGUAACCUGCCCUUGACUUUGGGAUAACUUCAGGAAACUGGGGCUAAUACCGGAUAGGAGCUCCCGCUGCAUGGUGGGGGUUGGAAAGUUUCGGCGGUUGGGGAUGGACUCGCGGCUUAUCAGCUUGUUGGUGGGGUAGUGGCUUACCAAGGCUUUGACGGGUAGCCGGCCUGGGAGGGUGACCGGCGACAUGGGUACUGAGAUACGGCCCAGACUGCAACGGGAGGCAGCAGUGGGGAAUAUUGCACAAUGGGCGGAAGCCGGAUGCAGCAACGCCGCGUGUGGGAUGACGGCCUGCGGGUUGUAAACCGCAUUCGCCUGUGACGAAGCUGGAGUGACGGUAAUGGGUAAAGAAGCACCGGCUAACUACGUG
Molecule: ribosomal RNA, 468 nt
Filed under: uncultured bacterium
Lineage: Bacteria
Description: partial 16S ribosomal RNA
Rfam family: Bacterial small subunit ribosomal RNA
Source: RNAcentral